GACGAACGCUGGCGGCGUGCUUAACACAUGCAAGUCGAACGGAAAGGCCCUGCUUUUGUGGGGUGCUCGAGUGGCGAACGGGUGAGUAACACGUGAGUAACCUGCCCUUGACUUUGGGAUAACUUCAGGAAACUGGGGCUAAUACCGGAUAGGAGCUCCUGCUGCAUGGUGGGGGUUGGAAAGUUUCGGCGGUUGGGGAUGGACUCGCGGGUUAUGAGCUUGUUGGUGGGGUAGUUGCUUACCAAGCGUUCGACGGGUAGCCGGCCUGGGAGGGUGACCGGCCACAUUGGGACUGCGAGACGCCGCAGAAUCCUACGGGAGGCAGAAGUGGAGAAUAUUGCAGAAUGGGCGGAAGCCUGAUGCAGCAACGCCGCGUGCGGGAUGACGGCCUUCGGGGUGUAAACCGCUUUCGCCUGUAACGAAGCGUGAGUGACGGUAAUGGGUAAAGAAGCACCGGCUAACUACGUG
This 468-nucleotide ribosomal RNA is filed under the name uncultured bacterium. RNAcentral's name for it is "partial 16S ribosomal RNA". It matches the Rfam family "Bacterial small subunit ribosomal RNA", at positions 28 to 507 of the family's 1533-position model. The record is from RNAcentral.